GUUGUAGGACACUCUAUACGGAGUUACAAAGGACGACAUUAGACGAAUCAUCUGGAAAGAUGAAUCAAAGAAGGUAAUAAUCCUGUAGUCGAAAAUGUUGUCUCUCUUGAGUGGAUCCUGAGUACGACGGAGCACGUGAAAUUCCGUCGGAAUCUGGGAGGACCAUCUCCUAAGGCUAAAUACUCUCUAGUGACCGAUAGUGAACCAGUACCGUGAGGGAAAGGUGAAAAGCACCCCGGAAGGAGAGUGAAAUAGAACCUGAAACCGUGUGCUUACAAGUAGUCAGAGCCCGUUAAUGGGUGAUGGCGUGCCUUUUGUAGAAUGAACCGGCGAGUUACGAUUUGAUGCAAGGUUAAGCAGUAAAUGUGGAGCCGUAGCGAAAGCGAGUCUGAAUAGGGCGUUUAGUAUUUGGUCGUAGACCCGAAACCAGGUGAUCUACCCUUGGUCAGGUUGAAGUUCAGGUAACACUGAAUGGAGGACCGAACCGACUUACGUUGAAAAGUGAGCGGAUGAACUGAGGGUAGCGGAGAAAUUCCAAUCGAACCUGGAGAUAGCUGGUUCUCUCCGAAAUAGCUUUAGGGCUAGCCUCAAGUGAUGAUUAUUGGAGGUAGAGCACUGUUUGGACGAGGGGCCCCUCUCGGGUUACCGAAUUCAGACAAACUCCGAAUGCCAAUUAAUUUAACUUGGGAGUCAGAACAUGGGUGAUAAGGUCCGUGUUCGAAAGGGAAACAGCCCAGACCACCAGCUAAGGUCCCAAAAUAUAUGUUAAGUGGAAAAGGAUGUGGCGUUGCCCAGACAACUAGGAUGUUGGCUUAGAAGCAGCCAUCAUUUAAAGAGUGCGUAAUAGCUCACUAGUCGAGUGACACUGCGCCGAAAAUGUACCGGGGCUAAACAUAUUACCGAAGCUGUGGAUUGUCCUUUGGACAAUGGUAGGAGAGCGUUCUAAGGGCGUUGAAGCAUGAUCGUAAGGACAUGUGGAGCGCUUAGAAGUGAGAAUGCCGGUGUGAGUAGCGAAAGACGGGUGAGAAUCCCGUCCACCGAUUGACUAAGGUUUCCAGAGGAAGGCUCGUCCGCUCUGGGUUAGUCGGGUCCUAAGCUGAGGCCGACAGGCGUAGGCGAUGGAUAACAGGUUGAUAUUCCUGUACCACCUAUAAUCGUUUUAAUCGAUGGGGGGACGCAGUAGGAUAGGCGAAGCGUGCGAUUGGAUUGCACGUCUAAGCAGUAAGGCUGAGUAUUAGGCAAAUCCGGUACUCGUUAAGGCUGAGCUGUGAUGGGGAGAAGACAUUGAGUCUUCGAGUCGUUGAUUUCACACUGCCGAGAAAAGCCUCUAGAUAGAAAAUAGGUGCCCGUACCGCAAACCGACACAGGUAGUCAAGAUGAGAAUUCUAAGGUGAGCGAGCGAACUCUCGUUAAGGAACUCGGCAAAAUGACCCCGUAACUUCGGGAGAAGGGGUGCUCUUUAGGGUUAACGCCCAGAAGAGCCGCAGUGAAUAGGCCCAAGCGACUGUUUAUCAAAAACACAGGUCUCUGCUAAACCGUAAGGUGAUGUAUAGGGGCUGACGCCUGCCCGGUGCUGGAAGGUUAAGAGGAGUGGUUAGCUUCUGCGAAGCUACGAAUCGAAGCCCCAGUAAACGGCGGCCGUAACUAUAACGGUCCUAAGGUAGCGAAAUUCCUUGUCGGGUAAGUUCCGACCCGCACGAAAGGCGUAACGAUUUGGGCACUGUCUCAACGAGAGACUCGGUGAAAUCAUAGUACCUGUGAAGAUGCAGGUUACCCGCGACAGGACGGAAAGACCCCGUGGAGCUUUACUGUAGCCUGAUAUUGAAAUUCGGCACAGCUUGUACAGGAUAGGUAGGAGCCUUUGAAACGUGAGCGCUAGCUUACGUGGAGGCGCUGGUGGGAUACUACCCUAGCUGUGUUGGCUUUCUAACCCGCACCACUUAUCGUGGUGGGAGACAGUGUCAGGCGGGCAGUUUGACUGGGGCGGUCGCCUCCUAAAAGGUAACGGAGGCGCUCAAAGGUUCCCUCAGAAUGGUUGGAAAUCAUUCAUAGAGUGUAAAGGCAUAAGGGAGCUUGACUGCGAGACCUACAAGUCGAGCAGGGUCGAAAGACGGACUUAGUGAUCCGGUGGUUCCGCAUGGAAGGGCCAUCGCUCAACGGAUAAAAGCUACCCCGGGGAUAACAGGCUUAUCUCCCCCAAGAGUUCACAUCGACGGGGAGGUUUGGCACCUCGAUGUCGGCUCAUCGCAUCCUGGGGCUGUAGUCGGUCCCAAGGGUUGGGCUGUUCGCCCAUUAAAGCGGUACGCGAGCUGGGUUCAGAACGUCGUGAGACAGUUCGGUCCCUAUCCGUCGUGGGCGUAGGAAAUUUGAGAGGAGCUGUCCUUAGUACGAGAGGACCGGGAUGGACAUACCUCUGGUGUACCAGUUGUCGUGCCAACGGCAUAGCUGGGUAGCUAUGUGUGGACGGGAUAAGUGCUGAAAGCAUCUAAGCAUGAAGCCCCCCUCAAGAUGAGAUUUCCCAACUUCGGUUAUAAGAUCCCUCAAAGAUGAUGAGGUUAAUAGGUUCGAGGUGGAAGCAUGGUGACAUGUGGAGCUGACGAAUACUAAUCGAUCGAAGACUUAAUCAA
Molecule: ribosomal RNA, 2627 nt
Filed under: Staphylococcus aureus F46798
Lineage: Bacteria; Bacillati; Bacillota; Bacilli; Caryophanales; Staphylococcaceae
Description: bacterial LSU rRNA
Rfam family: Bacterial large subunit ribosomal RNA
Source: RNAcentral